Molecule: long non-coding RNA, 498 nt
Organism: Olea europaea var. sylvestris
Lineage: Eukaryota; Viridiplantae; Streptophyta; Magnoliopsida; Lamiales; Oleaceae
Exons: 2
Source: RefSeq, a predicted model, not a curated record
CUACAUUGAACUUCAUAUUCUGACCCAUGCAGGCAAUUAGCUGAUCUAGAAAAUGCAGGGCCUCCUGUUGCAUGCAAGGAAGAAAUUACUGGUUCUUUUCAGUGGCAUGGAAGCAGGGCUAUGCGUUGCCAUUGUUUUGGUCCGUAGAUGAGUCUUCCCAGAAACAACCACGGGAAAUCCGGUGAUAGCAACCAUUAUAGAAGGGAUUACAGUAAGAUUUUAGAUUAUAUGAUUUCAUGCCACAGAUCAUACAUGAAGAGGAAUGUAGUAACCUUGGCACAAGGAAAAGGCAUGACUUCAUGGUCUCUUAUCCUUUUUAGGUGAAAGUGCUCAUAUUUCUUUCUUGACUUCUACUCCUAGAAUUGAUUCUUUGUACUCAAUAGUACAUAGACAGUGACUUGUCGUGGAAAUUGAGGUAGCCCUCCUGUGUAUGAAUCAGGCCAUAAAAUGGUUUAAAUCUUUUGCUUAUCUAUUGCACGACUUGAUUUGAAAGCAUAA